RNAcentral lists this ribosomal RNA (353 nucleotides) under uncultured fungus. RNAcentral's name for it is "eukaryotic LSU rRNA". The stretch from base 1 to 134 matches the Rfam family "5.8S ribosomal RNA", at positions 29 to 154 of the family's 154-position model. The record is from RNAcentral. Lineage: Eukaryota; Fungi.
UGCAUCGAUGAAGAACGCAGCGAAAUGCGAUAAGUAAUGUGAAUUGCAGAAUUCAGUGAAUCAUCGAAUCAUCGAAUCUUUGAACGCACAUUGCGCCCUCUGGUAUUCCGGGGGGCAUGCCUGUUCGAGCGUCAUUACACCUCUCAAGCUCAGCUUGGUAUUGGGUCUUCGCCCUUCGUGGACGGGCCUAAAAAUUAGUGGCGGUGCAACCGGUCCUCAAGCGUAAUAGCAUGAAUAUCCCGCUUUGGAGUAACCGGGUGGACCCGCCAGAUAACCUCUAAAAUAUUUCAAUGGUUGACCUCGGAUCAGGUAGGGAUACCCGCUGAACUUAAGCAUAUCAAUAAGCGGAGGAA